Molecule: long non-coding RNA, 311 nt
Filed under: Panax ginseng (ginseng)
Lineage: Eukaryota; Viridiplantae; Streptophyta; Magnoliopsida; Apiales; Araliaceae
Description: long non-coding RNA (PGIN_LNC000649)
Source: RNAcentral
UAGCCAAAUCAAGUAGCUUAGACCAUACCAAUAAAUUGGACAUCAACUUGAAACAUUCGUCUAGUCAACUCAAUUGACAUCGACUACUUCUUUAAAUUCUUUUGCAAUACAUCAAAACGUUUCAUGACAUCAUGAUACCAUACUCUUCACAGUACGUUGAGGACUUCGUCAGUUUGUGACUUCGUCAUUAUACAUCAUACCAUAGCAGGUUGUUGAUCCUAAGAUCAAAUCCAACACUAGGUUCAAUUGCAUUAAUAACUCCAUACUUUACCAUCCUUGCAUCAAAUGCACUGAUGAUAUAAAAUUCAUUU